CUGAUGUCUGAGUCACCAUAGUUUCCAAAUGAAGUACUGUCAGAAGCAGCCAACUGAUACUGGUCAAGCCAAGGAUGUCAAAGAAAGGUUCACUUACUUCCAGGGGCUACAGGUGCCUGAAUGUGGAGGUUCAAGAGCCCCAUCAGCAUUGAACCCAUGCCUUCAUCAUGCACAGUAUCUUCUGCUCUGAGUGCACCAGAAGCCAUCUAACCAACAUUACCAGUCAUUCUGCUAAGAGAUGCUUGUUUAUACCUGUUGGGUGUCAGGCACAGCGCUAUGUACUGGAUGCACAGUGAGAACAAAACAGACCUGCUCCUGCCCUCAUGGAGCUUACAAACAUUUAAAAAGCACACACAGGAGUAUGUAUACAAUUACCCAUUUUGAUGAGCACUAUGAAGGGAAAAUCUGGUGUGUGAGGAGAGAAACCGGGGGGGUGGGAGUCUUCUCAGGGUGAAUUCUCAGAGAAGGCCUCUCCAAGAAAAAUAUAAGAAUUAGAUAUGAAACCCAAA
This is a long non-coding RNA of Myotis lucifugus (little brown bat), 509 nucleotides long. RefSeq lists it as uncharacterized. The transcript is spliced from 2 exons. The record is from RefSeq and is a predicted model, not a curated record. Lineage: Eukaryota; Metazoa; Chordata; Mammalia; Chiroptera; Vespertilionidae.